GCCGCGGUGGCAGAAUCUGGUAAAUGCGCUUGCUUAAGGAGCAAGUGAGAGCUCCACACUCCCCUGCGGGUUCGAAUCCCGCCCGCGGCG
This 90-nucleotide transfer RNA is filed under the name Candidatus Woesearchaeota archaeon. It matches the Rfam family "tRNA". Rfam says of the family: Transfer RNA (tRNA) molecules are approximately 80 nucleotides in length. Their secondary structure includes four short double-helical elements and three loops (D, anti-codon, and T loops). Lineage: Archaea; Nanobdellati; Candidatus Woesearchaeota. The record is from Rfam by way of RNAcentral.